RNAcentral lists this ribosomal RNA (492 nucleotides) under uncultured bacterium. Its description in RNAcentral is "partial 16S ribosomal RNA". It matches the Rfam family "Bacterial small subunit ribosomal RNA", at positions 29 to 507 of the family's 1533-position model. The record is from RNAcentral.
AGUGAACGCUGGCGGUAGGCCUAACACAUGCAAGUCGAACGGCAGCACAGUAAGAGCUUGCUCUUACGGGUGGCGAGUGGCGGACGGGUGAGGAAUACAUCGGAAUCUACUUUUUCGUGGGGGAUAACGUAGGGAAACUUACGCUAAUACCGCAUACGACCCACGGGUGAAAGCAGGGGAUCUUCGGACCUUGCGCGAUUGAAUGAGCCGAUGUCGGAUUAGCUAGUUGGCGGGGUAAAGGCCCACCAAGGCGACGAUCCGUAGCUGGUCUGAGAGGAUGAUCAGACACACUGGAACUGAGACACGGUCCAGACUCCUACGGGAGGCAGCAGUGGGGAAUAUUGGACAAUGGGCGCAAGCCUGAUCCAGCCAUACCGCGUGGGUGAAGAAGGCCUUCGGGUUGUAAAGCCCUUUUGUUGGGAAAGAAAAGCAGCAGGUUAAUACCCCGCUGUUCUGACGGUACCCAAAGAAUAAGCACCGGCUAACUUCGUG